This 1200-nucleotide long non-coding RNA is filed under the name Felis catus (domestic cat). RNAcentral describes it as "lncRNA (ENSFCAG00000049848.1)". The record is from RNAcentral. Lineage: Eukaryota; Metazoa; Chordata; Mammalia; Carnivora; Felidae.
AUGUGUGGCACUUUCCAAGGGGGCGGGGGAGACACCCUGCAAGCAACAGGAGUGAGGUCUCUCGAGAAAGGCACAAACAGCAUAAUUAACAUAAACCGGACGGAUGGAAUCUGGAUCUGGAAGAUCAUCUCCGGCAAGCAGCCCUGUGAUGAUGAAAUCCCUUCUAGAUCCUGUUGGCUAUUUCUGUACUGCUCUGGAUUUGGGAAGUUUUUCCUUAUGUUAAGCCAAAGACCCUAUUGCAAAACGAGUCUACACUCUCCCACGUGGUCACUCCCCACAUACGUGGAGACAUUCUAUCCUUUUCUCUGGGACCCCGACCUUCAACCCCCCUCCCCCCAGCUUGUAGCCUAAAAAAACCUCACCCCCACUGACUGUUUUAACUACCACUCUGGCCCCUUCACCCAAGACCCCUCCAUCUAUUCUCCAAAACUGGGGUCCCCAGGGCUGGGUCCUGGCCACACUUCGUGGACCGCUCUAAGGGCUCUCCAGUCUCACUCAUGCCCAUGACUUGAAGCACCUUCAGAGUCAGCUAAUGUUUUCCAGAUUUAUACCUGCGGCCCUGACGCCCGGUCCCCCAUGCCAGACCCACAUCCCCAGUCAGCAGUUUGGGCCCUCCCUCGGAUGUCCCACCACCUCCCCCUGCACCUGCUCCCACCUGGACCCUCUCUCAGUGGGCAGCACCCCCUUAGCCAGCCGCUCAGACACAAACCUGGGAGUCCUGCUGCUUUGUUCCUGCUCCCGCCUGGCCUCAACUCCAGUGAAUCACAAGGCUUAUUGACGGUACCUCCAAGGCUUGUGAGAUCCCUCCCACUCUCCACCCCCACAGCGCGGUUAUGGGAGCCUCCCCUCACUCCUUUUGAAAAACUCAUUGAUGAGUUCCCAUGGGACCCAGAAUAAUAUCAAAAUACGAGCCACGAUCCCUGACUCUCCAUCUUUAUUCUCUACUCUGUGAUCUCGACUGUCUGCCACUCUGGGCUUAUUUGGGCUCCCUGGGAGAAGCAACCUCUUUCUACCACAGGGCCUUGGCAUAUGCUGUCUGGGUCCCCUCCUCUCGGCAUGGUUGUCUCCUGCUUCCCCGAGCCCCCUGGUGCUUUCUCACAGCACCUAGAAUAAUUUGUUAUCUAAUGAGAAAUUUACAUGUAUAUGUAUAUAUGAGUAUUUACGUAUACGUAUUUUUGUGGUAUGCCUGUCCCCACGACU